GGAAGUGUGUGUCUUCUGUUUGUGAUGGCACGUAGCUGGACAUUGAUCGCUAGACCGUUAUUAGUGUUUGCAGAUCUGCUCAGUGGCAUCCGUCACACUAUUGUUUCCCCAAUAAAAUUUGCUUGGCAGACGUUUGGUGCUGAAAUUCAAAUGCCGGUCUUCUGUUGCAACGACGACGGGUCGUGACGCACAGUCAAGCCGAUGUCUCCCAGGAGCUAGUGGCGAAUGGUGUUGUUGGUUUCCGCCGCAUCAUUCAACAAAGCUCCUGGUGUGUUUACAUUCGCUGUGAGACCAGCAUCGGAUUUCCCAGUCUGUCGUUUUCAAAAUUUCUUAGUUAAGUAACUUGUAGCUUAGCUUCGGAUUUUCGUAAAUUUGCAGUUCAGAACACUUCCAUAUCAGUGGCAUUGCCGAGCAAUUUGCCCAUUUCUUUUG
Molecule: small nuclear RNA, 432 nt
Filed under: Lucilia cuprina (Australian sheep blowfly)
Lineage: Eukaryota; Metazoa; Arthropoda; Insecta; Diptera; Calliphoridae
Description: arthropod 7SK RNA
Rfam family: Arthropod 7SK RNA
Source: Rfam by way of RNAcentral